Molecule: non-coding RNA, 46 nt
Organism: Schistosoma curassoni
Lineage: Eukaryota; Metazoa; Platyhelminthes; Trematoda; Strigeidida; Schistosomatidae
Source: Rfam
GCAUAGCUGAGGAGUUCUGCAAUAGGACGAAACGGCCGUCCAUUAC